This 2994-nucleotide long non-coding RNA is filed under the name Salmo salar (Atlantic salmon). RNAcentral's name for it is "lncRNA (ENSSSAG00000095486.1)". Lineage: Eukaryota; Metazoa; Chordata; Actinopteri; Salmoniformes; Salmonidae. The record is from RNAcentral.
CACAUGCUAAUGUAAAAAGCUGGUUUUUGAUAUAAAUAUGAACUUGAUUGAACAAAACAUGUAUGUAUUGUAUAACAUAAUGUCCUAGGUGUGUCAUCUGAUGAAGAUCAUCAAAGGUUAGUGCUGCAUUUAGCUGUCUUCUGGGUUUUUGUGACAUUAUAUGCUAACUUGAAAAAUGGGUGUCUGAUUAUUUCUGGCUGGGUACUCUGCUGACAUAAUCUAAUGUUUUUCUUUCGUUGUAAAGCCUUUUUGAAAUCGGACAGUAUGGUUAGAUUAACGAGAGUCUUGUCUUUAAAAUGGUGUAAAAUAGUCAUAUGUUUGAGAAAUUGAAGUAAUAGCAUUUCUAAGGUAUUUGAAAAUCGCGCCACGGGAUUACACUGGCUGUUGCGUAGGUGGGACGAUUUCACGGCCGGAUGAAAAACGUACCCAAUUUGAACAGGUUACUACUCUGGCCCAGAAACUAGAAUAUGCAUAUUAUUAGUACAUUUGAUUAUUAGCUUUGGAUAGAAAACACUCUGAAGUUUCUAAAACUGUUUGAAUGGUGUAUGUAAGUACAACAGAACUCAUAUGGCAGGCAAAAACCUGAGAAAAAUACAAGCAGGAAAUGAAAAUAUUGUGGCUGUACUAUUUUCAAGUCAUUGCCAAUGGAACACACAGUGACAAAGGAUUCAUUUUGCACUUCCUAAGGCUUCCACUAGAUGUAAAAUGUCUUUAGAAAGUUGUUUGAGGCGUCUAUGAUGAACAGAGACCGAAUGAGAAGGCUGGGAAGUUGGUAACCCAGGGAAUGACAUCACUUCAUUGGCGCGCAUUCAUGUGAGAUGGGACCUGUGUUCCAAAACGUUUUUCAAGACACAGGAAUGGUCCGGUUGAAAUAUUACUGAAGUUUCAUGUUAAAAUGGCCCUAAAGAUUGAUGCUAUACAACGUUUGACAUGUUUGAACGAACGUAAAUAGAUUUUUCUUUUGACUUUUCGUCGUGACAUUUUCCUCGCGCGUCCUACAUUUUGAGUAGCUUACUGAACGCGCUAACAACAUGGAGUUAUUUGGACAUAAAUUAUGAACUUUAUCGAACAAAACAACAUUUGUUGUGGACCUGGGAUUCCUGAAAGUGCCUUCUGAUGAAGAUUAUUAAAGAGGUAAGUGCAGUCGGGCUGUCUUCCUUCAGUAAUCUGUGGAGAAAAUUGCUGCCCCACAUCUCAAGCACUUAGCCCAGAACAUACCUGUGCUGGCAGUGCCAGAGGACCAACAAUCAGGUCUUAAGAUCUGCCACUCUGCCAGAAGCUGUUAAAUCAGCCAAGCUGAAGAAGCAAGAGCAGCAUCUCCUGCUUGUUCAGAUUGAGUGGUCUAUCUACCAGAAGAUGGUUUCUGACUGCGAGACCACCUGUCAAGACCUGCAGUUGUCUCUGGGGAGCCCUACUGAAGCAGCAAGCAAAGACAUCAGGUUGUAUUACAGAUUUGAUUUUCCUCAACAGGUGCACUCUCCUUUUGACCCUAUGCAGCCAGGGUCCAUCUACUUUUUAACAAGAACAAGUUUGUGCUCUGGUUAUUGUUCCUGGCAGACCAUACACAAGCUCCACCACAGUCUGGACCUUCACUUCCUGAUCACAGGCCACACAAAGUCUUCCCCUGACUGGUUGUUCGGCCUCAUCAAGCAGCACUUCAGAAAGACCUGAGUGAACACUGUGUCAGAGAUGGCUGGUAUGGUGAAGGACAGCACUGUGACAGGGGUUAAAAUCCCACAGCUGGUUGGACUGAAGGAUGUUACGGUGCUGGAAAAAACCUAUGGCUAGCAACCACACCUGACCUGUACUUCAGACCACUGCCACAGAUCAAGCAAUACCAGCACUUCAGCUUUAAUGCUCUGGAGCCUGGUGUUGUUGUCACCAAGGAGCGUUCGGACUCAGUCGGUACCUGCUGCGGAACGCUGACGUCUUUCCUCCUAUAGGUGGUCUGCCUGUACGAGCACCACCUGGACUGGACACAACUAGAUAAACAUAUAUUUUUAAAAGAUCAGGGAGUUUUGCAACGAAGAGGACAUGGACAUCAUAUGCCCUACACCAAAGUCAAGGGCAGGACAGAAACAGGCUCUCCGAAUAUAGGUUCCCUUGUUCAUGCGUGGUGCGGAUGGACCAGCUCAUCACUGGGUGCAAGUUCCCAGUCAUCUGGACUAUCUGCAGUGCCUAGGGCUGUGGCGGUUGCGAGAUUUCAUCAUUCGGUUAUUGUCAAGCAACUACACCUUAACAAUAAAUCCAUGAUUUACUUUAGGCAGGUCUAAAGAAGCAUGAUAUGAAGAAAAUGUAGUAUAGCAUGCUUUAAGUUGUCCUUAUGUUAGGUCCUGAUCUGGCUAUGCCAAAUGGCUGUGGGCUACACUAGUUCAUUUAACAAACAAGAUUUGCUUAGAAUUCAGUGGCAUUAUUUUAUAGUAUGAAGAAUACAAUUGGACAAAGCUGAAUAAAAUAGAAAGGAUAUUUUCUCCAAACGAUUUGAGGGAGCGCGCAAAUUUCUAUUCUGUGUUGAGCGGUUAACAAAGAAAUAGGUAUUCCUAUACGCUUAAUUUAGAAUUAUUAAUGUAACUUUAGUUGUUCUACAAACUUUGGGCUAUAUACAGUAUUUUGAUUUUGAAUACAUUGUAAGGCUGCAUGAUGCGAUUGUAAUGAUUAUAAAUAUAUAUUAUUUUGUUCUUUCUUUACUAGCAUUGACACUUAUAUUUUAUAUUUAUAUUGACACUUUCUAUUUUUGAUAUUGCUACUAUACAAAUAUGCAAGUAACCAUUUCACUGUACCCAUCCACUUAGCUAGACGUUGCUAUGGGGUGAUUAUAGCCUGAUUACAGGUGUGUCUGGAGGUGAUUACGGCCAUGUAACGAUCGUCUGGAAGAGGGGACCAAGAUGCAGCGUGGUAAGUGGUCAUAAUGAUUUUUAAUGAGACACUUCAAAAACAAACAGGGAAAACGAAAGCCAACAGUUCUGCCAGGUGAACACACACAAGACAGAAAAC